This is a long non-coding RNA of Silurus meridionalis, 913 nucleotides long. RefSeq lists it as uncharacterized. Lineage: Eukaryota; Metazoa; Chordata; Actinopteri; Siluriformes; Siluridae. The record is from RefSeq and is a predicted model, not a curated record. The transcript has 2 exons.
GCCGCUCCUCCCUGCUCACUUCCACUGUCUCUGUCCGCCAUGAUGCCUGCCUGCCUUCUCCCUCCGUCUGCUGCAACCUCACAGCCAGCCAGCCAGCCACGCGGCCGCUCUCGCGAGAUCUCUGCAAGCAGACAGACAGUAACCGCUUGAUUCCAGUCUGGUUGGUGGUCGCGCUGGAUCCGGAUCACAUACUGGGAAUUCUCGGCGCGAGUCGGGAAUCCACGCAACGCCACGCGCACACGUUCCCAUCAAGUAGACAGUUCCGCCAAUCCCAAAGAGAUGUGUUUUGAGAGGUGGAAGAAAAUCAGAAGAAUCCCCCCGGGGACACAGAGAGGACAUGCGCAUCUGCACACUGGCCGCAGCGCCAUGCCGCACAGUUGAGUUUGAUAUAUUUGCAAAUGAAUUUGGGUUGUGCAGAAAUGUAUUUUGAUGAUAUUCAUGAUACGGAUACAAAUGUACAUAUUUUUAAUGAAUUAAGAACGAGCAAACAUCCCAACAUGCUCUGUUGUUUAUUUUUUUUAAGCGCUAAAUAAAGAUAACUUGGAAUAAAAUGAAAGGAAACGGAAAAUUAAAUAAUAAUAAAAAAUGUUUCCCUAAGAAUCAAUUCAGGAUAUAUUACAUAAAUAUAUUUAGUAAUGUUUUAUAUGCAUAAAUCUAUCUAUCUAUCUAUCUAUCUAUCUAUCUAUCUAUCUAUCUAUCUAUCUAUCUAUCUAUCUAUAUAAACCUAAGUAUAUCUUAUAGUAAUAUAUGCCACGUCGAACAUGUAGAGGAGUUUGACUUUUUUUCUGUCUCUGUGAAAAGUCUGCCUUUUAAAAUCCAUUUAUUAAAACUAUCAAUCAAUUUCUAGGAAGCACUAAUACAUGCAAAUUAAAUCAUUUUUUAUACGUGAAUCAAAUAAAUGCAAUUAAAUUUG